RNAcentral lists this ribosomal RNA (606 nucleotides) under uncultured bacterium. RNAcentral describes it as "bacterial SSU rRNA". The stretch from base 1 to 520 matches the Rfam family "Bacterial small subunit ribosomal RNA", at positions 338 to 873 of the family's 1533-position model. The record is from RNAcentral.
CCUACGGGAGGCAGCAGUGGGGAAUCUUGCGCAAUGGGCGAAAGCCUGACGCAGCAACGCCGCGUGCGGGAAGAAGGCUUUCGGGCUGUAAACCGCUUUCAGCAGGAACGAAAAUGACGGUACCUGCAGAAGAAGGAGCGGCCAACUAUGUGCCAGCAGCCGCGGUGAUACAUAGGCUUCAAGCGUUGUCCGGAUUUAUUGGGCGUAAAGAGUUCGUAGGCGGUCGAGUAAGUCGGGUGUGAAAAUUCUGGGCUCAACCCAGAGACGCCACCCGAUACUGCUUGACUUGAGUUCGAUAGGGGAGUGGGGAAUUCCUAGUGUAGCGGUGAAAUGCGCAGAUAUUAGGAGGAACACCGGUGGCGAAGGCGCCACUCUGGAUCGAUACUGACGCUGAGGAACGAAAGCAUGGGUAGCAAACAGGAUUAGAUACCCUGGUAGUCCAUGCCGUAAACGGUGGGCACUAGGUGUGGGUUUCUAUUAACGAAAUCCGCGCCGUCGCUAACGCAUUAAGUGCCCCGCCUGGGGGAGGUACGGUCGCGAGAACGUAAACGUAAACGAAGUAGUAAGGUCGUGUUGAGUGCGACGACGACGACGACGGAGGAGGAG